This 485-nucleotide ribosomal RNA is filed under the name uncultured bacterium. RNAcentral describes it as "partial 16S ribosomal RNA". It matches the Rfam family "Bacterial small subunit ribosomal RNA", at positions 355 to 824 of the family's 1533-position model. The record is from RNAcentral.
UGGGGAAUUUUGGACAAUGGGCGCAAGCCUGAUCCAGCCAUGCCGCGUGCGGGAAGAAGGCCUUCGGGUUGUAAACCGCUUUUGUCAGGGAAGAAAUCUUCUGAGUUAAUACCUCGGGAGGAUGACGGUACCUGAAGAAUAAGCACCGGCUAACUACGUGCCAGCAGCCGCGGUAAUACGUAGGGUGCAAGCGUUAAUCGGAAUUACUGGGCGUAAAGCGUGCGCAGGCGGUUUUGUAAGACAGAGGUGAAAUCCCCGGGCUCAACCUGGGAAACUGCCUUUGUGACUGCAAGGCUUGAGUGCGGCAGAGGGGGGAAUGGAAUUCCGCGUGUAGCAGUGAAAAUUGCGUAGAUAUGCGGAGGAACACCGAUGGCGAAGGCAAUCCCCUGGGCCUGCACUGACGCUCAUGCACGAAAGCGUGGGGAGCAAACAGGGAUUAGAUAGCCCUGGUAGUCCACGCCCUAAAACGAUGUCAACUGGUUGUU